UACGUAGGUGGCAAGCGUUAUCCGGAUUUACUGGGUGCAAAGGGCGUGUAGGCGGUUUUGCAAGUCAGAUGUGAAAUCUCCGGGCUUAACCCGGAAACUGCAUCUGAAACUGCAGAACUUGAGUACUGGAGAGGAUAGUGGAAUUCCUAGUGUAGCGGUAAAAUGCGUAGAUAUUAGGAGGAACACCAGUGGCGAAGGCGGCUUCCUGGUCCGUACCUGACGCUAAGAUGCGAAAGUGUGGGGAGCAAACAGGAUUAGAUACCCUGGUAGU
This 271-nucleotide ribosomal RNA is filed under the name uncultured prokaryote. Its description in RNAcentral is "partial 16S ribosomal RNA". It matches the Rfam family "Bacterial small subunit ribosomal RNA", at positions 524 to 794 of the family's 1533-position model. The record is from RNAcentral.